ACAGAGGGUGCAAACGUUGUUCGGAAUCACUGGGCAUAAAGCGUACGUAGGCGGCGCCGUAAGUGUCGGAUGAAAUCCCACGGCUUACCCGUGGAACGGUCCGGCAUACUGCGGUGCUAGAGGAUGGUAGAGGAGAGCGGAACUCUUGGUGGAGCGGCGAAAUGCGUAGAUAUCAAGAGGAACACCGGUGGCGAAGGCGGCUCUCUGGUCCAUGUCUGACGCUGAGGUACGAAAGCCAGGGGAGCAAACGGGA
RNAcentral lists this ribosomal RNA (253 nucleotides) under uncultured prokaryote. RNAcentral describes it as "partial 16S ribosomal RNA". It matches the Rfam family "Bacterial small subunit ribosomal RNA", at positions 525 to 777 of the family's 1533-position model. The record is from RNAcentral.